This 430-nucleotide ribosomal RNA is filed under the name uncultured bacterium. Its description in RNAcentral is "bacterial SSU rRNA". It matches the Rfam family "Bacterial small subunit ribosomal RNA", at positions 355 to 776 of the family's 1533-position model. The record is from RNAcentral.
UCGAGAGGCUUCGGCAAUGGGGGAAACCCUGACCGAGCGACGCCGCGUGGGCGAUGAAGGCCGUUAGGUUGUAAAGCCCUGUCGAGUAGGAAGAAACGCAGAUGGGUGAACAAUCCAUCUGUUUGACGGUACUGCUAAAGGAAGCUCCGGCCAACUCCGUGCCAGCAGCCGCGGUAAUACGGGGGGAGCGAACGUUGUUCGGAAUUACUGGGCGUAAAGGGCGUGCAGGCGGCCUCGUAAGUGGGAUGUGAAAUGCCCUGGCUCAACCAGGGAAAUGCAUUUCAGACUGCGAGGCUUGAGUAUAGGAGAGGAUGGGGGAAUUCCCGGUGUAGCGGUGAAAUGCAUUGAUAUCGGGAGGAACACCAGUGGCGAAGGCGCCCAUCUGGCCUAAUACUGACGCUCAGGCGCGAAAGCUAGGGGAGCAAACAGG